RNAcentral lists this long non-coding RNA (1895 nucleotides) under Numida meleagris (helmeted guineafowl). Its description in RNAcentral is "lncRNA (ENSNMEG00000011660.1)". Lineage: Eukaryota; Metazoa; Chordata; Aves; Galliformes; Numididae. The record is from RNAcentral.
CUUUACUGUUUUUGAUUCAAUAUAUUCUUCAGCAGCAGCAGGUUAGAAACUUGCUACUCAGCCCUGGGAGAGGUGAGCACCAGCUCCCUGUUUGGCCAGAUGGGAAAUUUUAAUAACACUACCUGCAAAAUCCAAUUUAGGAUAGCAAUAAUCACACAGAGGCAAAAGUAGUAGUGCUUGGCUUUUCUUUCACAGAAACCAAUGUGAAUAAGUGUUAGCUACUUAUACAUGGGAUCAAGGGCAAGUGAAAAUUGCUCAUGGUAGUGUAACUGAUUGCCACUAUCUUUACAAAGAUCUUUCACUGGCAUUGUCUGUGUAACCACUGGAUAGCAAAGGCUGGUCACGUGUGGCAGUGGCUGGCAUAAGCUCUUUAUAUAGCUUUGCUCGGAUAAAACUUACAGUGCUGCAAAAGGCUUUGGUGGUAUCUGAAUAAAACAGGGGAAAAAAGUCAGUCAGGGUUCUCUCAGACAAAUUCUUCCCUAAUAUAUGCUGUUGCCCAGGGGAGCACUGAACCAAGGCUGUCAGUCUGUCAAAGAUAACAUUACUUCAGUUAAACUUGCUCAUAAUUCUUUGCUAAGGAGAGAUUUGUGUGCAGUAUGUCCAGAUAACUAAUGCCAGCUGUACUUAUUUCUCACAGACUAGUUUCUUCUUUCAACUCCACCUCUUUUUUAUCAUAUUUCUUUCCAUCUCCUUUCUUUGCUUUGAUUUUCUGUUACCAUAAUCUCUCCUAAUUUUUUUCUUCACUUGAUUUGUGGCAUUCCAAUAAAACUCUGCUGAAGGGUGUAAUCACUUUGCCUCACAGAUUCCUGAUGCAGUUCGUGUGGCCUUUUUAUUACAAGCACGAUCAUAAUGAUGGAGUGGGCCAUCAUAUGUCAUAUGCCAUUGCUCCUAGGACAGGAUACAGGGCAUGGGUUUUUUGGCACUCUUCUCCGCACCCAUUGUAGAGCUGCUCAGCUCUGCUGAAUGCAUAUUUUUCUGAUUUCUUUUUGGUGCACAGGACACUCAGAAUUUUCUGUUCUGUCUUUUACAUGGAGACUUCAUGACAACAGACUACAAAGGGGACUACAGCAUCUCUGCAAGACAAGAAGAAAAUAUGCAAGGUGCACAUCUGAAGAGCACCAACAAGGAGAAUGUGAUGUAGCUAUGAAAACUGAGCUCCUAACAUCUCACUUCAGCAUGCAGUAAACAAGAUUUAAAAAAAACAAAGCCAGGAAGAGGUCUGAACUGCAGAUGUACUGCUGUGAGUAUUGAGAAGGAUACUAUUACUCAGCAGCAGUUUAAACUUCCCUAAGCUGAACUGAGCUGUGAGUACUUAGGUGUUAACCAAGGAAGAACAGCUUCCAGAAGCUGCUAUAACCAGCAGCAGGAGGUGGGAAGUGCUUGAACCUGAUCCACCAGAGCAAGUUGCCUUCAAGAGCUCCCUGUGCUGGCAGCAGGCAAUACUCAUCACCCCAUUUCAGCUGGAGCUCACUCUGGCUGUAUUCUUCUCUUCACCUGUUCUCUGUCCAUCAAGUCUCUAUCAGUUUUCCAUUCAUGAUGGAUCAGUGCCUACCAUAAUAGUGUUCAUUAUUCAUCAUUGAAUCACAGAAUGGCUGAGGCUGGCAGGAUCCUCUGGCCCAACCCCAGCUUCAGCAGGGCCACCCAGAGCAGGUGCCCAGGCCCACAUCCAAGUGGCUUAUGAAGAUCCCCAAGGAGGAGACCCCACAGCCUCUGGGCAGCCCAUGCCAGUGCUCCGUCACCUGCACAGCACAGAAGUGCUCCUGGUGUUCAGAGGGAGCCUCCUGUGCUCCAGUUCGUGCCCAUCAUCUCUUGACUUGGCUCUGGGAACCACACCAGACAGUAAACAUCGACCUCGGAUAUGAGUGGAAUAAACUCCAGUGAUAGAAAUGAUGACA